RNAcentral lists this ribosomal RNA (253 nucleotides) under uncultured bacterium. Its description in RNAcentral is "partial 16S ribosomal RNA". It matches the Rfam family "Bacterial small subunit ribosomal RNA", at positions 524 to 776 of the family's 1533-position model. The record is from RNAcentral.
UACGUAGGCAGCGAGCGUUGUUCGGAGUUACUGGGCGUAAAGAGUGCGUAGGCGGUUUUCUAAGUUUGGUGUGAAAUCGCUCGGCUCAACUGGGCGGGGUCAGCGGAUACGGCGUGGCUGGAGCAAGCUAGGGGGCAAUGGAAUUCCCGGUGUAGUGGUGGAAUGCGUAGAUAUCGGGAGGAACACCAGUGGCGAAGGCGGUUGCCUGGAGCUUUGCUGACGCUGAUGCGCGAAAGCGUGGGGAGCGAUCCGG